UGGGUGACUUACAAACAUCAAAAAUUUAUUUCUCACAGUUCUGGAGGCUGAGAAGUUCAAGAUCAAGGGGCUGGUAGAUUCGGUGUCUGGUGGGAGCCUGCUACCUGCUUCAUAGACAGACAGCUGGUCCUCAUCUGGCAGAGAGCAGAAAGCCAGAGCAAGCUCUCCUGUCUCUUCUUCCAAGGGCACUAAUCUCAUCCAUGAGAGCUCCACACUCAUGACCCAAUUAUCUCCCAAAGGCUCCACCUCCUACACCAUCACAUGGGGCAUUAGAAUUUCAACAUGUGGCUCUGGGGAGGGGGAACACAUUUAGUCCACAACAGCAGGGUUUCCCACCAUGUGCUGCGGCAAUGACUGAUGGUAUACCUGAGGUAAUUUUUAGGGAUGCCCAGGUGAAACAUUUAAAAAAUUUUAAUCGUCAUGUACUUAAUUUAUAUAUAUUUGAAAAUAUAUAUAGAAGCACAUUAAACAGUGACUUCAACCAGUAUUAUUGCUGAGGAUGAAUCUAAAUUAAAAUAAAAAAGUGAAUCAUUUAAAGAAAAAUGUUAGAAAAAAAAAUAUGGGUGGUACUAGGAUGUGCAAGAAUCCUGAAGGUGGUUGAUGAGGGAGGGAAGUUUGGGGCAAUACUGCUUAAAACAUGUUACCUCCUUCCCUCUCUUCUCAUGCUGCACUGCGGGCCUAGUCUGUUACUCCAGCACUAUGCUUUCGUGAUCUUUCUGGCUGGAACCCCGUCUCUCUUGCCCUUUGAAUCCACCACUCCUCUGCCUCAGCACCUGGCGCAGUGCUCAGCACAGAGUAGGAAGUUCAGCUGGGACCCUCAGUCUCUCUGCUUGUCACAUGUCUGU
Aethalodelphis obliquidens (Pacific white-sided dolphin) is the source of this 845-nucleotide long non-coding RNA. RefSeq lists it as uncharacterized. NCBI's taxonomy places the organism in Eukaryota, Metazoa, Chordata, Mammalia, Artiodactyla, Delphinidae. The record is from RefSeq and is a predicted model, not a curated record. The transcript is spliced from 3 exons.